GACGAACGCUGGCGGCGUGCUUAACACAUGCAAGUCGAACGGAAAGGCCCUGCUUUUGUGGGGUGCUCGAGUGGCGAACGGGUGAGUAACACGUGAGUAACCUGCCCUUGACUUUGGGAUAACUUCAGGAAACUGGGGCUAAUACCGGGUAGGAGCUCCUGCUGCAUGGUGGGGGUUGGAAAGUUUCGGCGGUUGGGGAUGGACUCGCGGCUUAUCAGCUUGUUGGUGGGGUAGUGGCUUACCAAGGCUUUGACGGGUAGCCGGCCUGAGAGGGUGACCGGCGACAUUGGGACUGAGAUACGGCCCAGACUCCUACGGGAGGCAGCAGUGGGGAAUAUUGCACAAUGGGCGGAAGCCUGAUGCAGCAACGCCGCGUGCGGGAUGACGGCCUUCGGGUUGUAAACCGCUUUCGCCUGUGACGAAGCGUGAGUGACGGUAAUGGGUAAAGAAGCACCGGCUAACUACGUG
Molecule: ribosomal RNA, 468 nt
Filed under: uncultured bacterium
Lineage: Bacteria
Description: partial 16S ribosomal RNA
Rfam family: Bacterial small subunit ribosomal RNA
Source: RNAcentral